UUCCCCGUUCGACGUUCUGAUGAAAUUGUUUGAGUAACGGCUCGCCAAAAGCCGCUGAUUGCUUAGUACCCAAUCAAUUUACCACACCAUUUCAGUUUAGAACCGUCAACGGGUUUUUCG
RNAcentral lists this small RNA (120 nucleotides) under Vibrio rhodolitus. RNAcentral describes it as "MtlS RNA". It matches the Rfam family "MtlS RNA". Lineage: Bacteria; Pseudomonadati; Pseudomonadota; Gammaproteobacteria; Vibrionales; Vibrionaceae. The record is from RNAcentral.